UCUUUCUGGCAACACGACCAUGCAGCUAAUUUUGGUAGACUGUUAUUAUAGAUACUGUAUAUGUGGUGUAUAUGUGGUAGACUGUAAUAAUAGAUACUACUGUAUAUAUGGUGUAUAUGUGGUAGACUGUAAUAAUAGAUACUGUAUAUAUGGUGUAUAUGUGGUAGACUGUAAUAAUAGAUACUGUAUAUGUGGUGUAUAUGUGGUAGACUGUAAUAAUAGAUGCUACUGUAUAUAUGGUGUAUAUGUGGUAGACUGUAAUAUUAGAUACUGUAUAUGUGGUGUAUAUGUAGUAGAGUGGCUACUUCUGGUAUCAGUGUGGACUGGUACUUCAUGUAUCAGUGUGGACUGGUACUUCAUGUAUCAGUGUGGACUGGUACUUCAUGUAUCAGUGUGGACUGGUACUUCAGGUAUAAACGUUGACUUGUACUUCAGGUAUAAACGUUGACUUGUACUUCAGGUAUAAACAUUGACUUGUACUUCAGGUGCUAACAGGCAUGACCUCAAGAUGACAGGUCAUCAUAAAUCCCAGACAAAUCAACUUGCAACGGUAUAGCUCAAUGUCUGAGGUCAGAGGCAGUCUGGCGUUUUGUAGAUGGCACUUCUCUGGAUCAGAGGUCAGGUGCAGCCAAUUGUUCAGUUGUUGGUUAAUUUGUUCUGGGGAAAGAAUGAGAGAAGGUAAACAUAAGUGAGCUUGCUAAACAUUUUGCUUACAAAAUGGGGUCACCACCCGAAACACUUCUGUUGAUUUGUAGGAGUUGAGUCGGAGGGACCUCUCAAGGGGCUAGAGCUGAGUUGACGGUCCUGGCUUAGAAAGGUCAACGGUGGAAAACUGUCUUGUGGACUGACGAAUCCAAAUGUUAAAUUAUUUUUGGGAAUCAUGGACGCCGCGUCCUCCAGAAUAUAGAGGAGAGGGACCAUCCACUGUUCAAAAGCAAG
Esox lucius (northern pike) is the source of this 939-nucleotide long non-coding RNA. Lineage: Eukaryota; Metazoa; Chordata; Actinopteri; Esociformes; Esocidae. The record is from Ensembl.